AUGGAGGAGGUGGCGCCGCGUCGAAAUAAUUUGCCUCUGCUCUUCCUCCAUCUCGUCGUCGCUGCAACUGGUGGCGUCGGGGGGCAGGUGGCCCGGUCGUCUCGCCGAUCUCUGUAUCCGGCGAGGUUCGUGUCUGGUGGUCGGCCGAUGGCGCUCUCGCGGGUGACGGUUGUGUCGGCUGCUGUAGUUGUGUUUACUGUCUUGCAGUUGGGUGUGUGGAUGAUGGCAGGCGGCGACGUUCCUCUUCUUCGACUACAUCGGAUGAAGUUGACGGCGUCGAGAUCUGGUGACCACGGGGAAGAUCCCCGGCCUACGUGCCACAAAGACUCGGUCUCGUCGCGGCGACCUGCUUCAACGGCUCAAAAAGCAUCUUUGUAUGCGAUGGUGCUCUCCUAG
Molecule: ribosomal RNA, 396 nt
Filed under: Triticum aestivum (bread wheat)
Lineage: Eukaryota; Viridiplantae; Streptophyta; Magnoliopsida; Poales; Poaceae
Description: partial small subunit ribosomal RNA
Source: RNAcentral